AUUGAACGCUGGCGGAAUGCUUUACACAUGCAAGUCGAACGGCAGCACGGACUUCGGUCUGGUGGCGAGUGGCGAACGGGUGAGUAAUGUAUCGGAACGUGCCCAGUCGUGGGGGAUAACGUAGUGAAAAUUACGCUAAUACCGCAUACGAUCUAUGGAUGAAAGCGGGGGAUCGCAAGACCUCGCGCGAUUGGAGAGGCCGAUAUCAGAUUAGGUAGUUGGUGGGGUAAAGGCCCACCAAGCCAACGAUCUGUAGCUGGUCUGAGAGGACGACCAGCCAAACUGGAACUGAGAUACGGUCCAGACGCCUACGGGAGGCAGCAGUGGGGAAUUUUGGACAAUGGGCGAAAGCCUGAUCCAGCCAUUCCGCGUGCAGGAUGAAGGCCCUCGGGUUGUAAACUGCUUUUGUACAGAACGAAAAGGUUUCUACUAAUACUAGGAGCUCAUGACGGUACUGUAAGAAUAAGCACCGGCUAACUACGUGCCAGCCGCCGCAGUAA
RNAcentral lists this ribosomal RNA (500 nucleotides) under uncultured bacterium. Its description in RNAcentral is "partial 16S ribosomal RNA". It matches the Rfam family "Bacterial small subunit ribosomal RNA", at positions 30 to 523 of the family's 1533-position model. The record is from RNAcentral.